CUCUUCCUCCAGAGUCACCAUGUGAUCCCGGGAUGCCAAAAGAAGGCAUCCUAAAUAAGGUUUAGAUGUCUUUCACUUGGAAAUCAUGAAGGUCUGAUAUCCAUUGCUCUUAUAAAAUGCAUAGAACUAUAAACCAGCUUACUACAAGAAGAUUUAUUUUUCCCUCAUGGUCUCAGUUUAUCAUCUCUUGGCCUGUGGUGGGAAGCCAUGGGGAAGAUGAUGUAAUUGAACAUAGAUGCUCAUAUCCCUGUGAUCAAGAGUUGAGGGAAUGUGCUGGAGACAGCAACAUCCUUCAGGUGCCUGUAGAGGUAACAGAGAUGGACACAAAGGCUGCAUGAAUACAAAGUCAUAGGUACUAGAAACUUACCCAUCUUCCUACACAAAAAUAAUAUUGGCUCUUAACUGCUGAGACAUCUCCAAAGUCCUUAUAAUAUCUUAUUUUAUUUAUAUGAGUAUGCCCAUUUUUGUGUUUAUGUUUCUUUGUGAGUGUAUUCACAGAUGCCAGGACAGGGCAUGCAGCCCUUGGAGCUAGAUUUUGAGAGCACUCUGAUGGAGGUGCUGACAUCAAACCAUAGGCACUCAGGAUUGUUCAGUGUUUGUUCUUGAAUGCUGAACUGUAUCUCCAAAUCUGAGGUUGAAUAAUUUUGAAAAAUUUGUUCCAAGGGGUACGCAUGCAUGUCUGUCCAAAUGUAUAUGCCUGCAAUAAUUGCUUGCCAACUUUGAUUUUUCUAAUAUUUGCUUAAAAUUAUGCUCAGGUCUUGUACCCUUGUACCAGAAAUCACAAACCAAUACAAAUCAUUACAUUUCAGUGCAUUAUGUUGGGAGGUACAAGUUUCCCCCUUGUUCAUAACUCAAGAAGUAGAUUCCAUCUUUUGACUAAGGUAUUAUCUACCCAGAUUCUCUACUAGAAUAUUGUCCAUUCUUGUCACUUAGAAGUACAGUUUUAUGAUAUAGCUUGAGAUCAGACAAUUAUUUUAAUUAGUGGUGUGAAAUUUCAUGUAACAACCAGACCAAAUGAGAGAUGUAUACCCAAAAUUUAACAACACCCACUCAUAAGUGAACCACAAGAUUGGAUAACAUUGAUUAGGGACUUCUGUGGCUAUAGUGAUUAAAAACUCAUAGAUGACCAUUAGAAGUGGGUCAUCUUUAAAGGCUUAAGGGAUUAUCUUGAACAACUUUGCUUUUUGCUUCAGAAAAAAUUCCAUUUUAUAUUUUAAACAUAAUAUUAUUGAAUUAUAUGUUGGGGAAUUUUUACUUUUAACUUUUUUGUGUUUUGAUAUACAUUAUUAUUAAUGACCUUUGAUGUGCCAACAUGAAUAAAGGAAAUAUUUGCAAGGCUCCACCCCUAUAUGAAGACCUACAGAAACUAGUCACUGCUGAGAGAGGAAAAUUAAUCUUCUCAAUUGAUCAUAUCCAUAGAUGAUAUCACUAGUAGGCUAUGCAUUUUUAAGUGGUAAUCGGAAAUCACAUAUGUAAUAGCAGCAACUCUGAGGGGACACA
This is a non-coding RNA of Cricetulus griseus (Chinese hamster), 1500 nucleotides long. The record is from RefSeq and is a predicted model, not a curated record. NCBI's taxonomy places the organism in Eukaryota, Metazoa, Chordata, Mammalia, Rodentia, Cricetidae.